UACGUAGGGUGCGAGCGUUACUCGGAAUUACUGGGCGUAAAGCGUGCGCAGGCGGUUUUGUAAGCCAGAUGUGAAAUCCCCGGGCUUAACCUGGGAAUGGCAUUUGGGACUGCAAGGCUGGAGUGCGGCAGAGGAGACUGGAAUUCCUGGUGUAGCAGUGAAAUGCGUAGAUAUCAGGAGGAACACCGAUGGCGAAGGCAGGUCUCUGGGCUGACACUGACGCUCAUGCACGAAAGCGUGGGGAGCGAACAGG
RNAcentral lists this ribosomal RNA (253 nucleotides) under uncultured bacterium. RNAcentral's name for it is "partial 16S ribosomal RNA". It matches the Rfam family "Bacterial small subunit ribosomal RNA", at positions 524 to 776 of the family's 1533-position model. The record is from RNAcentral.